Molecule: ribosomal RNA, 296 nt
Filed under: uncultured bacterium
Lineage: Bacteria
Description: partial 16S ribosomal RNA
Rfam family: Bacterial small subunit ribosomal RNA
Source: RNAcentral
ACUACGGGGCGCAGCAGUGAGGAAUAUUGGUCAAUGGGCGCGAGCCUGAACCAGCCAAGUAGCGUGAAGGAUGACUGCCCUACGGGUUGUAAACUUCUUUUAUGAAGGAAUAAAGUGAGGCACGUGUGCCUUUUUGUAUGUACUUUAUGAAUAAGGAUCGGCUAACUCCGGGCCAGCAGCCGCGGGAAUAAGGAGGAUCCGAGCGUUAUCCGGAUUUAUUGGGAUUAAAGGGAGCGUAGAUGGGAUGUUACGUCAGUUGUGAAAGUUUGCGGCUAAACCGCAAAAUUGCAAUUGAU